GUGCCGAGUCAUACGUAAGGGCGAUAACACCCGAGGAAUUUUUAUCGGACCCUUUCCUCGGGAUAUUUCUUAGUGAGGAAUCCCAAUCCGCGAAUUGCUCAUGAUCCAAGAAUAGCCAUUAGUCCUCGACUGCAACCCACAACUCUCAAAUCGGCGCAUAAACUCGCGAUUCUCUGAAAAAAAAAAAUAAAAUGUAGAAGUGCUUCCCACCGAAUGGAAGACACAACUCGAAUCAAGUUCUACGAUAAAACGCAGUUGCAUUAAGAUGAUAAAAAUACCAGAGGUACCAUCGUCCCCGGGAAAUUGCCGUCAUUAAUCUCUGGAAAUUGGCCGAUAAAUCCCGACGCCGUACUCACCGUUUCAUUGGCUUAUCGGUAAUCCACGUGGACGGGCGGUGCAUGUCACCGUGAAUUAAUUGUUCCCACCGCCUCAGGAUAAAUUCAUUUUUUACAAUCUCUUUGUUGUUUUAUUUAUUUAUUUGUUUUGGUUUCUUGUGGGGAUUUUGGAUUCCUGGGGUAUCGAGUCGACUUCGGCUUUUGGGAGGUUUUUUUUUUGGAGUUUGGGUGAAGGGGCGGUUGUUUUUGGAUUGAUAAUUUUGGUUUGAUGGAAAAUGGAAAAUGGAACUGGAAAUGUGAAUUCUUGAAUUAAAAAUAUGAAGUC
This is a long non-coding RNA of Fopius arisanus, 660 nucleotides long. RefSeq lists it as uncharacterized. The transcript has 4 exons. Lineage: Eukaryota; Metazoa; Arthropoda; Insecta; Hymenoptera; Braconidae. The record is from RefSeq and is a predicted model, not a curated record.